This 209-nucleotide unclassified non-coding RNA is filed under the name Hevea brasiliensis (rubber tree). Lineage: Eukaryota; Viridiplantae; Streptophyta; Magnoliopsida; Malpighiales; Euphorbiaceae. The record is from RNAcentral.
GUUUGCUGCUAUUGUUGCCCAGGUUCUGGAGAGAAAAGAUUUAGCAGGUGACAAGAUAUCUGUUGAUCAUCUUUCAAAGAUUUGUGCUUCAGCUGUCAGAGAAGCUUUAGCUAAUGUCUUUGGUGAUAAAUUUUAUUUUUUCGCNAAGGAACUUUGAGAGAUCAUUUGGGAGUACAUUGAGUACCCUUAGAUUAAUUAAUGAAGCAGCC